RNAcentral lists this ribosomal RNA (514 nucleotides) under uncultured bacterium. RNAcentral's name for it is "bacterial SSU rRNA". It matches the Rfam family "Bacterial small subunit ribosomal RNA", at positions 31 to 518 of the family's 1533-position model. The record is from RNAcentral.
GAACGCUGGCGGCGUGCCUAAUACAUGCAAGUCGAACGGUCUUUCUAUGGAAGCUUGCUUCCACUGAGAAGAUAGUGGCGAACGGGUGAGUAACACGUGGGUAACCUGCCCAUAAGAGGGGGAUAACAUCCGGAAACGGGUGCUAAUACCGCAUAGUUUUCUUGAUCGCAUGAUCGGGAAAGGAAAGACGGCCUUUGUGCUGUCGCUUAUGGAUGGACCCGCGGCGUAUUAGUUAGUUGGUGAGGUAACGGCUCACCAAGACGAUGAUACGUAGCCGACCUGAGAGGGUGAUCGGCCACAUUGGGACUGAGACACGGCCCAAACUCCUACGGGAGGCAGCAGUAGGGAAUCUUCCGCAAUGGACGAAAGUCUGACGGAGCAACGCCGCGUGAGUGAAGAAGGUUUUCGGAAUCGUAAAACUCUGUUGUCAGAGAAGAACAAGUUGGAGAGCAACUGCUCCAGCCUUGGCGGUAUCUGACCAGAAAGCCACGGCUAACUACGUGCCAGCAGCAGC